AGGUUAAGUUAGAAAGGGCGCACGGCGGAUGCCUUGGCACUAGGAGCCGAUGAAGGACGGCACUAACACCGAUAUGCUUCGGGG
RNAcentral lists this ribosomal RNA (84 nucleotides) under Sporosarcina sp. P17b. RNAcentral's name for it is "partial 23S ribosomal RNA". It matches the Rfam family "Bacterial large subunit ribosomal RNA", at positions 1 to 83 of the family's 2925-position model. The record is from RNAcentral. Lineage: Bacteria; Bacillati; Bacillota; Bacilli; Caryophanales; Caryophanaceae.